RNAcentral lists this ribosomal RNA (506 nucleotides) under uncultured bacterium. Its description in RNAcentral is "partial 16S ribosomal RNA". It matches the Rfam family "Bacterial small subunit ribosomal RNA", at positions 28 to 523 of the family's 1533-position model. The record is from RNAcentral.
GAUGAACGCUAGCUACAGGCUUAACACAUGCAAGUCGAGGGGUAACAAGAGGAAAGCUUGCUUUUCUUGUUGACGACCGGCGCACGGGUGAGUAACGCGUAUCCAACCUGCCUAUAACUAGGGAAUAACCUUGCGAAAGUAAGACUAAUACCCUAUGAUUUCCUUUGAUGACAUCAGAUUAGGAAUAAAGAUUUAUCGGUUAUAGAUGGGGAUGCGCCUGAUUAGCUUGUUGGCGGGGUAACGGCCCACCAAGGCAACGAUCAGUAGGGGUUCUGAGAGGAAGGUCCCCCACAUUGGAACUGAGACACGGUCCGAACUCCUACGGGAGGCAGCAGUGAGGAAUAUUGGUCAAUGGGCGGAAGCCUGAACCAGCCAAGUAGCGUGCAGGAUGACGGCCCUAUGGGUUGUAAACUGCUCUUAUACAGGAAUAAAGUUAGCCACGUGUGGUUAUUUGUAGGUACUGUAUGAAUAAGGACCGGCUAAUUCCGUGCCAGCCGCCGCGGUAA